UACGUAGGGUGCGAGCGUUAAUCGGAAUUACUGGGCGUAAAGCGUGCGCAGGCGGUUUUGUAAGCCAGAUGUGAAAUCCCCGGGCUUAACCUGGGAAUGGCAUUUGGGACUGCAAGGCUUGAGUGCGGCAGAGGAGACUGGAAUUCCUGGUGUAGCAGUGAAAUGCGUAGAUAUCGGCAGGAACACCAAGGGGGAACCCAGCCACCUGGGCAUCGGCUGACGCUGAGGGGCGACAGCGUGGGGAGCGAACCGG
This 253-nucleotide ribosomal RNA is filed under the name uncultured bacterium. Its description in RNAcentral is "partial 16S ribosomal RNA". It matches the Rfam family "Bacterial small subunit ribosomal RNA", at positions 524 to 776 of the family's 1533-position model. The record is from RNAcentral.